CCUACGGGUGGCAGCAGUGAGGAAUAUUGGUCAAUGGGCGGGAGCCUGAACCAGCCAAGUCGCGUGAGGGACGACGGUCCUAUGGAUUGUAAACCUCUUUUGUCGGGGAACAAAGGCGCCCACGGGUGGGCGGAUGAGUGUACCCGAAGAAAAAGCAUCGGCUAACUCCAUGCCAGCAGCCGCGGUAAUACGGAGGAUGCGAGCGUUAUCCGGAUUUAUUGGGUUUAAAGGGUGCGUAGGCGGACAGUCAAGUCAGCGGUAAUAAUGCGGUGCUCAACCCCGGGGCUGCCGUUGAAACCGGAGCGCUAGAAUUCCGAUGCCGUCGGAGGAAUGUGUGGUGUAGCGGUGAAAUGCAUAGAUAUCACACAGAACACCGAUUGCGAAGGCAUCUGACGAAUCGGAGAUUGACGCUGAUGCACGAAAGCGUGGGUAUCGAACAGGAUUAGAUACCCCAGUAGUC
This 460-nucleotide ribosomal RNA is filed under the name uncultured bacterium. RNAcentral describes it as "partial 16S ribosomal RNA". It matches the Rfam family "Bacterial small subunit ribosomal RNA", at positions 338 to 795 of the family's 1533-position model. The record is from RNAcentral.